This 2768-nucleotide unclassified non-coding RNA is filed under the name Hevea brasiliensis (rubber tree). Lineage: Eukaryota; Viridiplantae; Streptophyta; Magnoliopsida; Malpighiales; Euphorbiaceae. The record is from RNAcentral.
AUCUGUCUCCGCCGUUCACGGCGUUUCGCCACUGUACACCGCCGAGUAUGAGAAGCUGAAUGAAAUGGGAGGAAAUAACAGAAAACGAUCUAAUAAACCUAAAACCCGGAAGCCUAGGAACCCGUCUUAUUCGGGUCGGGGCUUGUUUGUUGAAGGCGGAGUCUUAUCUGAUUGGGGCGAUUUCAAUUCUCCUCCUUCAAGGAGAAAUUUGAAGGGUGAAUAUGGAAAUGGAAAUGGCAAUUCAAGGAAUCGUAAUGCAGCUGUUAGCAGCUCGAUGAAUGCUUCGAGUUCGAAAACUGAAUUGAAGAAGAGUAGAGGAAGUGAGAUCCGUUAUGUAUACCCAUCUGCAGAUUCAGUGAUACGUUCAGAUGCAGUAUGUAGUGGAGGAGUAAAAGAUGUCAAGUUGGAUUCGGAACAUCCUAUUCUUUUGGUUGAUACAAAGGAAACUCAAAUUAUUGCUUUCGUAGAUGAAGGCCCAAAUAAGGAACCUCAAAAUCAGGGAUGUAUUUAUGAUUGCACAACCCCUUUAUCUCUAGAUGUUGGACAAAAUAAAGAUUCUAAUGAAGUUGACUAUGCUGGUGACUAUAGUGCUGGUUUCUCACUGGAUGAGAGUUCACACAGAGGAUUGGGAUUCUAUGAAGAAGCAGAAAUAACACAUGGUGGAGUUGGAUUGUCACCCAAGGAUGAGAAGGAAAAUCCUUCUUUUGAACAUUCAUUCUCUGACGAGGAUAUGGAUGCUGAUGGUGGCUUCCUUGGUGGUACCAGCAUCGAGAUGGACAAUCAUCUGCCAGCUGAGAUGUCAUCUUCUUUGGAAAAUGAGGGAUUUUUGUCUAUUGGGGGUUUUAGACUACAUACUCGAGACUUAUCAGACGAGGAAAGUGAUGGUGAUGAUGAAGACAUUUCAUCUGAUGAUGAAAGUUCUUGUUCGUCAGAAUCAGAAGAAUCUGAUGGAUCAUCUGAAAAUGAUGGGUCAUCUGAUAGUGAUUCAGAUGUUGAUGAAGAGGUUGCUGCAGAUUAUUAUGAAGGAACUGGUGGGCUGUGCAAAGUAAUUGAUGUUAGACAGUUGGUUGGACAAGUUCCUAGUAGCUGCUCUGAUGAUAGCUUAGACGAAACCGUAGAGAAGUUGGGUGGGAUUCAUCUUCAGGAAGCCUCUAGGGUGUAUGGAAUGAAGAAGCCUAAAAAAGAGAGAAAGUUCCGAGGAGGUCAGAAAUCUCCUUCUGCCAAGCAAGCCCAGGGAUCUGAUUUGGAUGGCCUUGUUUUUGUAAAGGACCCGAGAACAGUUUCAGGGAAAAAGAAACAUGCUGCUAAAUUUCCUCAGUCAUGGCCGUUUGAGUCUCAAAAGAGUAAAAAUUUCGGGAGGUUUCCAGGUGCUAAGAAGAAACAUCGCAAGGAGAUGAUGGCUGUGAAGCGUCGAGAGAGAAUGCUACACCGAGGUGUUGAUCUUCAGAAGAUAAAUUUAAAAUUACACCAGAUGGUUUUGGAUGGAGCUGAUAUGUUAUCUUUCCAACCUAUGCAUUCGCGUGAUUGUUCUCAGGUUCAGAGAUUAGCUGCAAUAUACCGCCUGCGAAGUGGUUGUCAAGGUUCUGGCAAGAAGAGGUUUGUGACAGUUACCAAGACACAGCAUACGGCUAUGCCAUCCCCCAGUGAUAAAAUUCGUUUGGAGAAGUUGAUAGGAGCCGGUGACGAGGAUUCUGAUUUCACAGUCACGGGUAUACAAAGUUAUAGAAAGGAUGUAAAUGCAGCCAAAAACUCUUCAAAGGGUAGUGGUGGACAAUCUGGCCCAAGCAAUUUGUUUAAAAUGCCGAUAAAUCCACGUGGGCAAAAAGACAGCAGCAAGAAACGAAGGGAUCAGAAAACAGUCUCCUAUGCUCUUCCUGUCUCCUUUGUUUCAAGUGGUAUCAUGCGUUCGGAGACAGAAGUUGAGGAGAAAUCAAUCGAAACAACCCAUACAACCACCAUUGUCCAUGAAACAAAGGUUGUGACCAACUCAGUCGAAUACGGUGCAUUCGAGAUGCACACUACAGGUAUUGGCUCAAAACUCAUGGCAAAAAUGGGUUAUCAAGAAGGCAGAGGCUUAGGGAAAGAUGGACAGGGUAUUUCUGAGCCCAUCGAAGCUCGCCAACGACCAAAAGCUCUUGGAUUGGGAGCUGAAAUCCCAGAAACAAGUAUUAGAUCAUCAGGAAAGAAGGAUUCUCUACCCAAAUCAUCUGGUCGUGGUGCUGAAGUUGUCGGUGGAAGUGGGAAAUCCAUCAGGAAGGAGUCAUCUGUUGGAUUUGCAGGAUUUGAGAGACACACAAAGGGGUUUGGAUCAAAGAUUAUGGCAAAGAUGGGUUUUGUUGAAGGUAUGGGACUUGGUAGAAGUUCACAAGGCAUAACCAAUCCUUUAGUUGCUGUUAGACGUCCUAAAUCGCAAGGAUUAGGUGCCAAAAGUUAGAAGAAAAAAAAUCACAUAAUAUCUUUCAACUGUGGAAAGAAAUGUUCAUAUUUCCCAUCUUAGUUGAACUUUGUAAUUUGCCCUGAAGCCUAUUUAAGUAGCAGACUACAACAACAUUACCUUGUGUAACUAGGGUCCGAAGAGGGUGAUGCGUAUGCAACAUUACCUCUAUCUUCGUAUGCAGAAGAGGGCAGCGUGUAUACCCCUCCCUUCUAAAUUUCGAGAGGGUGGUGUGUACGCGACCUUAUCCUUGCUUUCUUAAGACAUUUCAAUGGCUGACUAAUUAUCUAAGAUUAUAAACCAUAUUACAUUGAAGUGUGGAUAUCUUUUUUAU